GAUGAACGCUGGCGGCGUGCCUAACACAUGCAAGUCGAGCGGUAUAUACUUAAAUGAGAUUUCGGUCAAGUGAGGGUAUAGAGAGCGGCGGACGGGUGAGUAACGCGUAGGCAACCUGCCCCAUACAGAGGGAUAGCCUCGGGAAACCGGGAUUAAAACCUCAUAACGCGAGGAAUUCACAUGAAUUCUUCGCCAAAGAUUUAUCGGUAUGGGAUGGGCCUGCGUCUGAUUAGCUAGUUGGUGGGGUAACGGCCUACCAAGGCGACGAUCAGUAGCCGACCUGAGAGGGUAAUCGGCCACAUUGGAACUGAGACACGGUCCAAACUCCUACGGGAGGCAGCAGUGGGGAAUAUUGCACAAUGGGCGAAAGCCUGAUGCAGCAACGCCGCGUGAGCGAUGAAGGCCUUUGGGUCGUAAAGCUCUGUCCUUGGGGAAGAAAAAAAUGACGGUACCCUUGGAGGAAGCCCCGGCUAACUACGUG
RNAcentral lists this ribosomal RNA (481 nucleotides) under uncultured organism. RNAcentral's name for it is "bacterial SSU rRNA". It matches the Rfam family "Bacterial small subunit ribosomal RNA", at positions 28 to 507 of the family's 1533-position model. The record is from RNAcentral.